GCCGAAAUAGCUCAGUCGGGAGAGUGUUUAGACUGAAGAUUUAAAGGUACAUGGUUUAAUCCCUGGUUUCGGCA
This 74-nucleotide transfer RNA is filed under the name Callorhinchus milii (elephant shark). RNAcentral describes it as "tRNA-Phe (GAA) (tRNA-Phe-GAA-27-1)". It matches the Rfam family "tRNA". Rfam says of the family: Transfer RNA (tRNA) molecules are approximately 80 nucleotides in length. Their secondary structure includes four short double-helical elements and three loops (D, anti-codon, and T loops). Lineage: Eukaryota; Metazoa; Chordata; Chondrichthyes; Chimaeriformes; Callorhinchidae. The record is from Rfam by way of RNAcentral.